AGGAAUAUUGGUCAAUGGGCGAGAGCCUGAACCAGCCAAGUAGCGUGAAGGAUGACUGCCCUAUGGGUUGUAAACUUCUUUUAUAAAGGAAUAAAGUCGGGUAUGUAUACCCGUUUGCAUGUACUUUAUGAAUAAGGAUCGGCUAACUCCGUGCCAGCAGCCGCGGUAAUACGGAGGAUCCGAGCGUUAUCCGGAUUUAUUGGGUUUAAAGGGAGCGUAGAUGGAUGUUUAAGUCAGUUGUGAAAGUUUGCGGCUCAACCGUAAAAUUGCAGUUGAUACUGGAUAUCUUGAGUGCAGUUGAGGCAGGCGGAAUUCGUGGUGUAGCGGUGAAAUGCUUAGAUAUCACGAAGAACUCCGAUUGCGAAGGCAGCCUGCUAAGCUGCAACUGACAUUGAGGCUCGAAAGUGUGGGUAUCAAACAGGAUUAGAUACCCUGGUAGUCCACACGGUAAACGAUGAAUACUCGCUGUUUGCGAUAUACGGCAAGCGGCCAAGCGAAAGCGUUAAGUAUUCCACCUGGGGAGUACGCCGGCAACGGUGAAACUCAAAGGAAUUGACGGGGGCCCGCACAAGCGGAGGAACAUGUGGUUUAAUUCGAUGAUACGCGAGGAACCUUACCCGGGCUUAAAUUGCAGAUGAAUUACGGUGAAAGCCGUAAGCCGCAAGGCAUCUGUGAAGGUGCUGCAUGGUUGUCGUCAGCUCGUGCCGUGAGGUGUCGGCUUAAGUGCCAUAACGAGCGCAACCCUUGUUGUCAGUUACUAACAGGAUUUGCUGAGGACUCUGACAAGACUGCCAUCGUAAGAUGUGAGGAAGGUGGGGAUGACGUCAAAUCAGCACGGCCCUUACGUCCGGGGCUACACACGUGUUACAAUGGGGGGUACAGAGGGCCGCUACCACGCGAGUGGAUGCCAAUCCCCAAAACCUCUCUCAGUUCGGACUGGAGUCUGCAACCCGACUCCACGAAGCUGGAUUCGCUAGUAAUCGCGCAUCAGCCACGGCGCGGUGAAUACGUUCCCG
This 1016-nucleotide ribosomal RNA is filed under the name uncultured bacterium. RNAcentral describes it as "bacterial SSU rRNA". It matches the Rfam family "Bacterial small subunit ribosomal RNA", at positions 357 to 1376 of the family's 1533-position model. The record is from RNAcentral.